Tachysurus vachellii is the source of this 944-nucleotide long non-coding RNA. RefSeq lists it as uncharacterized. The transcript has 3 exons. Lineage: Eukaryota; Metazoa; Chordata; Actinopteri; Siluriformes; Bagridae. The record is from RefSeq and is a predicted model, not a curated record.
GCACCGUUUCAGUAUUUCUCCUCUUUUUGAAUUCAGUUAUAAAGUCAGCUUUGUAUUUUCUUGGACCAGGGACGCCUGAGUUCUCCACUUACUUUUAACGUUCAAGAGGUCCUGUGAAGUGCAAUCAUAUUUUUGCUUUGCGCUCAGAUUGGUUUGUCUUUGUGUCCCACAUCAUGUACUGCUUAAAGAACUGGUAUUCAGACAGUGUGGCCCUGAACACCAAACCCAUCCGACUGUCCAUCUUCCUCAUCGCCGGUGUGUGUGCGGGUUUUCCAGCUCUUAUUUGGGCUCUCAGUGUACUGUACCGCCAUUAUAAGAGCGGAGGUCGAACCUCAGACUUCGCCAACUUCCUCCUCCUCAGUGACCUGCUGGAGCUGAUCCUGACUCCAUUCCUUGUAACAUAUAUAUUCAAAGAGGAUUUUAAUCCAUGUGGAAUUUUUGGACUAUUGUUUGGGGCCAGGCUGCUUGGGCAUCUGCUUCACCAGACAGUGGCGUUAGAGAGCAUUUGCCAAAGAUAUCGAUUACUUGCUGAUGUUUUCUUUCCUCCCUGCUCUAUCGUUUUCUGCAUCAUUUUUCCUCUAGCAGUUGGAUGUCAUUUCAUACAUGACAUUACAUAUGUGAUAACUUCAAUUGUAUGCAUAUUGCCUGUGAUUGUGUGUGCAGUCACAUACAUAUUAACUUGGAAAGUACCUCAUGACAGCGACCAGGCCACAGACAGGAAGCCUGGUGUGCUGGUUGUAACUGUUGCCAUGUUUACAUUGAUCCUUAUAUACAUACCAUUUUUCUUGACUGUUUUUACUGGCAUUCCUUUUAUGUUGGACUGUUUAACAUGUUUGAGAUUAAUCUCUGAUCCCCUCCUGUGUGUACUCGUCUGCAAGGAGGUCGCUUUCAAUUCACACAAAGAUCGUAGGCAUGGAUCACAUGCAUUAAAUUAGAAACUUUGA